Molecule: long non-coding RNA, 786 nt
Organism: Etheostoma spectabile (orangethroat darter)
Lineage: Eukaryota; Metazoa; Chordata; Actinopteri; Perciformes; Percidae
Exons: 3
Source: RefSeq, a predicted model, not a curated record
ACAUUAGCCUUUCACUCAUGACAUGGAGACUCUGGUCAUGUGAUUUCAGAAAAACAACUCUGAAAGACUGAAAGCUGAGAGACAGACUGAGCACGCUCAGUUGCUGCUUCACCUGCACCGCCUCACACAGCUGACACACACACAGUUCUGAUGCCUUCAGUGAUAAUCUACAAUGGAAAUAGUCAUGAAGAUAAAGGAAACGCAUUGAAUGAGAAGUCUGAUAUAAAGUCAUCUUCUUCAUCGCACUGAAAAGGAGAUCUCAACAUGUCAGGAGGACCAGGAGACCUGAAGAUGGAUGUGAUUCUGAGAGGAAGCCGGACUGGAAACCUUCCUCAUCUGUAUGACCUGAUGAACAUGACUGAGUUCAGAAGGCUGCAGGAGCAAAGAGAUGACGCCAGAGCACGAUAUAAUGCUGGAGUGGUAGGAGCAGUAGCAGGAGGAGUAGGAGCAGCAGUAGCAAUAGCACUCCUGUUCCUUACAUCUCUCUUCACUGGGGGGGCUAGUUUAGCAAUAGGAGUGUUAGCAGUAGUAGCAGCAGGAGCUGCAGGAAGAGCUGUAGUAGCAGGAGUAGGAGCAGCAGAUCAAGCAGUAGCCGGAGCAGUAGCAGGAGGAGUAGGAGCUCUAGUAGGAAUAGCACUCAAGGCACUCCUGGUCCUUGCAGCUCCAUACACUGGGGUGGGAGUGGGGGGUGAUUUAACAGCAGUAGGAGCAUCAGUAGUAGCAGCAGGAGCUGUAGCAGGAAUGUUAGCAUUAGCCAGAGGAAGAUAAGCUGUGGUUGUAAAUGCA